Molecule: ribosomal RNA, 362 nt
Filed under: Josa calilegua
Lineage: Eukaryota; Metazoa; Arthropoda; Arachnida; Araneae; Anyphaenidae
Description: partial 16S ribosomal RNA
Source: RNAcentral
UUGUGCUAAGGUAGCAUAAUCAUUUGUCUUUUAAUUAAAGACUAGAACAAAAGACUGAACAUUUUAAUUAAUUUAUUAUAAUUAAAUAUUAAAUUUAUUUUAAAUGUAAAAAAACAUUUAUAUACAAAGAAGACGACAAGACCCUAUUGAACUUAACUUAAGUUAAACUGGGGCAGUAAAUUAAUCAAUAUUUUAAUUAAAAUACUAAAAUAAAUAAGACCUAAUAAAAUUAAUCAAAUGAUCAAGUUACCAUAGGGAUAACAGCGUAAUAAAAAUUUAAAGAUCUUAUUAAAAUUAAAAGAUUACGACCUCGAUGUUGAAUUAAUUACCUAAUUAUUGCAAUAACGCAAUAGUUAAAAAGG